RNAcentral lists this ribosomal RNA (890 nucleotides) under uncultured bacterium. RNAcentral describes it as "bacterial SSU rRNA". It matches the Rfam family "Bacterial small subunit ribosomal RNA", at positions 1 to 924 of the family's 1533-position model. The record is from RNAcentral.
GCAGAAUUCGCCUUAGAGUUUGAUCCUGGCUCAGGAUGAACGCUGGCGGUAUGCUUUACACAUGCAAGUCGUACGAGAGUUUUUAACUCAAGUGGCGGACGGGUGAGUAACACGUAAGAAUUUGCCUUUAGGAGGGGGAUAACAACUGGAAACGGUUGCUAAUACCCCAUAUGCUUUCGAGUAAAAUGGAUUUUCCGCCUAAAGAGAAGCUUGCGGCUGAUUAGCUUGUUGGUGAGGUAAUGGCUCACCAAGGCGACGAUCAGUAUCUGGUUUGAGAGGACGAUCAGACACACUGGAACUGAGACACGGUCCAGACUCCUACGGGAGGCAGCAGUGGGGAAUUUUCCGCAAUGGGCGAAAGCCUGACGGAGCAAUACCGCGUGAGGGAUGACGGCCUAUGGGUUGUAAACCUCUUUUUUCAGGGAGGAAUCAAUGACGUGUACCUGAAGAAUAAGCAUCGGCUAACUCCGUGCCAGCAGCCGCGGUAAGACGGAGGAUGCAAGUGUUAUCCGGAAUCACUGGGCGUAAAGCGUCUGUAGGUGGUCAAAUAAGUCAACUGUUAAAUCUUGAGGCUCAACCUCAAAAUCGCAGUCGAAACUAUUCGACUAGAGUAUAGUAGGGGUAAAGGGAAUUUCCAGUGGAGCGGUGAAAUGCGUAGAGAUUGGAAAGAACACCGAUGGCGAAGGCACUUUACUGGGCUAUUACUAACACUGAGAGACGAAAGCUAGGGUAGCAAAUGGGAUUAGAUACCCCAGUAGUCCUAGCCGUAAACAAUGGAUACUAGAUGUUGAACAGAUCGACCUGUGCAGUAUCAAAGCUAACGCGUUAAGUAUCCCGCCUGGGAAGUAUGCUCGCAAGAGUGAAACUCAAAUGAAUUGACGGGGAAGGGC